UCGAGUUCGGGGUCCUCCGGGGCCCCAACCUCCAACCCUGUGUCUACACGAACCACUGUUGCUUCGGCGGGCCCGCCUCCCUUCGGGCGAGGCCGCCGGGGGCGUCACUGCCCCUGGCCCGCUGCCCGCCGGUAGCCCACAACCACAAACUCUUGAUCAACCGUGACCUUAUCUGAAUCAAAACAAAAAUUUAAAAGCACA
This 201-nucleotide unclassified non-coding RNA is filed under the name uncultured fungus. Its description in RNAcentral is "sequence contains ITS1, 5.8S rRNA gene". Lineage: Eukaryota; Fungi. The record is from RNAcentral.